UGAUAACUGUUAGUAUGACAUUUCCUGUGCUCGUUUGAUCAAAUAUUGGAUAUCUUUCUAUAGAUAACGCCACAUCUUAAUCAGAGAGUCGGUUAACCAUUAUUUAAUUUGCUAUUGUUUCAUUUUUACUUCAAUUUACGUAUUUUUUACUCUAAACAUCGCAAUGUUGUUAUUACGAAACAGUCUACAUUUCUCUCUACUCUACCCCCAAUUCGAAUUUCUAGUUUAGCAUCGGAACUAAUCAUUACAGAGAAAAAUACUUUUAAUUGACUCUUUGUUGAGUUGAGAAACAAAGCAAUAGAAAAAUCUCAAGUAAAAGCUUUUCUAUACACAUAAACAAGUUCCCUUCCUAUGUAUUCAGCA
This 363-nucleotide long non-coding RNA is filed under the name Mytilus galloprovincialis (Mediterranean mussel). Lineage: Eukaryota; Metazoa; Mollusca; Bivalvia; Mytilida; Mytilidae. The record is from RNAcentral.